GAUGAACGCUGGCGGCGUGCCUAAUACAUGCAAGUCGAGCGAACAGACGAGGAGCUUGCUCCUCUGACGUUAGCGGCGGACGGGUGAGUAACACGUGGAUAACCUACCUAUAAGACUGGGAUAACUUCGGGAAACCGGAGCUAAUACCGGAUAAUAUAUUGAACCGCAUGGUUCAAUAGUGAAAGACGGUUUUGCUGUCACUUAUAGAUGGAUCCGCGCCGCAUUAGCUAGUUGGUAAGGUAACGGCUUACCAAGGCGACGAUGCGUAGCCGACCUGAGAGGGUGAUCGGCCACCCUGGAACUGGGACACGGUCCAGACUCCUACGGGAGGCAGCAGUAGGGAAUCUUCCGCAAUGGGCGAAAGCCUGACGGAGCAACGCCGCGUGAGUGAAGAGAGUCUUCGGAUCGUAAAACUCUGUUAUUAGGGAAGAACAAAUGUGUAAGUAACUAAGCACGUCUUGACGGUACCUAAUCAGAAAGCCACGGCUAACUACGUG
This 497-nucleotide ribosomal RNA is filed under the name uncultured bacterium. Its description in RNAcentral is "partial 16S ribosomal RNA". It matches the Rfam family "Bacterial small subunit ribosomal RNA", at positions 28 to 507 of the family's 1533-position model. The record is from RNAcentral.